GGAGUGAUAGCUCAGCAGUUAAGAGCACUGACUGCUAUUCCAAAGGUCCUGAGUUCAAAUCCCAGCAACCUCA
This is a non-coding RNA of Mus musculus (house mouse), 73 nucleotides long. Lineage: Eukaryota; Metazoa; Chordata; Mammalia; Rodentia; Muridae. The record is from Rfam.